Molecule: long non-coding RNA, 531 nt
Organism: Phyllopteryx taeniolatus (common seadragon)
Lineage: Eukaryota; Metazoa; Chordata; Actinopteri; Syngnathiformes; Syngnathidae
Exons: 3
Source: RefSeq, a predicted model, not a curated record
GGUGCUCCCACAUUCGCCUGCGCCGCUCGCUACCGUCUUGUUUCACCUCUGGCCUCUCGUGGCUCUCCUUCAGAUGAAGCUUCCUGUCGGCUGCAAAGGACGCACGGUCGUUUUACUGGAAGUGACAAGAGGAAGCGGGCAAACAGACCUGGCUUUGUUCUGCAUCGUUCACAUCGACGGCGUCCAAGUCACCUGUCAACACGCACAAACAACACGAACCGUCACGCUUAAACGUGACUGACAGGCAUGGCAAGCGUGAGCGUGGUGAGCAUUCUUUGGGCUGCUUGGAUGUUUUUCCUGCUCAUCCGUAGACCAGAAAAGCCGCCACAGCGCCCCGAGUGGAAGUGGAAUUCCGAUUAUUUGGCUUUUGGUGGCAUCGCUGCACGGGUCAGAUGACGAGCUCACCAGAGAGGAAGAGCGCGCCCAGGAAGAGCAGCACAGCGGCGCCCACGAUGCAUUUGUUCAUCGUCCACCACGUCUGCUCCUCCUUUCCCUCCGGCAACCUCAAUUCCACCUCAUCCUCCUCCUCUU